UUUUCCCACUUGGUUCAGGCAGGUGCAGGACAGCACCCAUGGGUGAGCCAUGUGCCAGGGUCACGCACAGCUCCUGCUUUGGCUGCUCUGAGGGAGCAGCCAGCCAGCCGGCAGCAAGCAGGGAAGUGAUCCAUAUUAAAAACAGCUGCUAGAAGACUGGGGGAGAAGAGUAGUCAGUCAGGGUCAUGGCCCUCAUCUAUUUCACCACUGAAACAGUAAUCGUAAAGGAAAGAAAAUAAUGUAUUGCUCACCUCUCCUUGCAAUCUCCAUUUCACAGUUUCCUCCAGUUCCACUUAAAAGCCUGAGCAAUAAAUUGACCCAACCCCAGCCCAUGCAGCCUCCCACCACUCCUCUAAAGAUGGAUGUGGUCCAGCUUUUAUCAUACUGAAGGACGUCAAAGUAGUUUUUGAAGAAGGGAAAAAGAGGGAGGGAAAGAAAAA
Molecule: long non-coding RNA, 440 nt
Organism: Pezoporus occidentalis (night parrot)
Lineage: Eukaryota; Metazoa; Chordata; Aves; Psittaciformes; Psittacidae
Exons: 3
Source: RefSeq, a predicted model, not a curated record